UCAGCUGCCUGGGCCCCCUUCCUGGCCCAGCCCCUUCUUACUGUGUGGUCUUAAAGCAGGUCACUUCACCUCUCCCUAUCUUUCUCUGUAAAACCCAGAUAAUGCUACUUCCAGAAUAAAGAAAGGGUUUUCUUUAAGCCCUUUGAGCUUCAGAUGGAGGCACCACAGCCCUGCCCGGGGCCGCGCCGGCCACCAUGUGAUUAGGUAAUGUGAGACGCGCGGCUCAUUAUGCUUUGUCUGCAGUGAAUGCGGCCCGGCCACAAAGCGCUGGAACUUUCGGUACAUUGAAACCCCCACGGUGGAGGGACCUGUAUCCCCAGACCAGCAUCCCCAGAAGCUUCCUCUGCAAGACACAGAAGACUCCCGGGCAGUCCGGCCUUGCUGGGCAGAGCGGGAGCUAUGCCUGUGCGGAGGUGAGGAGAAGUCAAUGGCUACCAUACAUUGACCUCCUACUACGUGCCAAGAAUUAUGCUAGGUAUGUUUUUCCAUCCCAAACCCUCAAGAUAACUGUAUUAAACCCUAGCUACGUUCUGAGAACAAAAGGAAACAAAAACACCCGCUAAUCUUUAUACAUUUUUCACCGUAAUGAAAGCCUAUCCGUUUGGGCCCUGUAGAUCUGAGCCCAGAAUUUUGGCCUGAGGCCUCCUCCCUGAUCCUCAGGCUUUAAGACCACACAGCAUGGGUCAGCAAACCACAAAGGGAAGGCUUACUUUUCUCACCCUGACCCAGACCUCUGAAGCCUUCCUGAUGACGCCUUGGGCAGGGCUCACUCAGCUUGACAAACUUUUACCCGGAACCCUCUGAUCCCAUUUUGAUGAAUGAAGUCAAAACCCCAGUGGGUUCGCUCAUCUGGCUGCUAUAGCACAGCCAGUCAAAGAUCUCAGUACCCAUCUGGAUACUUCAUUAGGGUCCUAAGACAUCUGGGGACCAGCGAUGGAAGAAACGUGCUUGUGUCGGGCGCCUAUCAUACGCCCGCACUGUGCUGAGCCCUUUCCAAUAUGGUAUCUCGGAUAGUCCCCCACCAAAAAAAAAAAAAAAAAAAGAAAGAAAAGAAA
Molecule: long non-coding RNA, 1055 nt
Organism: Herpailurus yagouaroundi (jaguarundi)
Lineage: Eukaryota; Metazoa; Chordata; Mammalia; Carnivora; Felidae
Exons: 3
Source: RefSeq, a predicted model, not a curated record